UCCUCGAAUUUGUUGGGUAUUUCAUGCGGUUGUUUGUUGAGAUGUCAGCAUACUGAUGUUCCCUUUCCCUGGCCACCCAUUGUUUUUAAUUUUGUUCCAUUUGAAGUGAAAUUUCUUGACGGUUGAAAAAAUGGGAGGGGGCAAUGUCAACAAUUUAGGGCGGAAUUAGCGAGAAGCUCAAUUUUGUAGAAGACGGAAUAUAGGAUUGGAGGUCCUCUUGUCUUCCCAUGUGAACCUGAUAGGGUAAUCGGGUGUUUCAUCUUGAAUUGCAAUUAUCAAAUGCACCAGAAGUUGUUUCUGCUUCGCACAGGCUGGUGUUGUUGCGAUUUUCGUCUAAUAUGCCCUAGGUUUAUCAUAGUAUGUUUUUUCUUGUUGCUCUGCUACAGCAGGGGAUGUUUGUUUGCUGAUAGAAAUGGGAGCCAAGAUCAGAAUAUAAGUGUACACUAUGAUGGGACUUCUCUGGUGGGAAAGAACGGUACACAGAAAAAAGGAGGAGGGAUUGGUGGGAGAAAAGCGCUUAAUGAUAUCUCAAACUCGGCAAAGCCCAAUAUGAUUUCUAUUGGGAAAGAUGUUGAUGCCUCUACAUAGAAAUUGAGUGCAGGAACGAAAGAUAACAAUUCUAAAGGGUGGCAGGAAAGCAUUAGCUGAUCUUACAAACUCAAGCAAGUUGACGUCAAUUGCAGAAGAGCAAAUUCUCCAUAAUCAUCAGAAUUGCGUCAAAGCACAGAGAAAGGUGAUGGACAUGAGUUGCUUUCUGAAGGAAAUUGGAUUAGAUCAUGAUGAUGUCCUCGUGCAUCUAGGACCAUCUCCACAUGCACUAAAACCAUCAAUGAAGUCGAAGUCAUCAAUAUAUCAGCCAGAAAAGCCCAACGAAACAUUAUGUCCAAGUGGAAGAGAUGCCAGAACCGAUGUUUUAUGAUGAGGUACGUCAAUGUGAGCAAAAUCGAGCUUGUGCAUCUUUUCCCCCUUGUGUUGCAUCUCCUAAAUCACGAUAUAUCAGCUGGUCGGAUGACAGUGUUCUAGAUUUUGCAUUGAUUGGAACACCUAUCCAUUCAAAUCAUUGAUGGACACUUCUUUGAGCAGAAGAAUCACUCGCAUCCUAUUGAAAAUUGUUAAAUAGAUCCGUUGUAGUCAUCAGUCAGUCAGCUGUUUGACUGUUUACGUGUUUAGUUCUUCCUUGCUUCACAUUCUAUCACCUAGCUUAUGCUUUUGUAUUCUUUUCCUCCUAUUGUUUUUUCUAAUUUUUUUGUUCAGGUUAGAUUGGAUGAAUUGUUGCUAGUAGUUGUUUUCUAGACUGUUUCACUUGUCGAGUCUUUUAUUAAAAACCAGCAACAUGCUUGGCUUUGCUCUCA
This is a long non-coding RNA of Solanum lycopersicum (tomato), 1352 nucleotides long. RefSeq lists it as uncharacterized. The record is from RefSeq and is a predicted model, not a curated record. Lineage: Eukaryota; Viridiplantae; Streptophyta; Magnoliopsida; Solanales; Solanaceae.